Molecule: ribosomal RNA, 275 nt
Filed under: uncultured bacterium
Lineage: Bacteria
Description: partial 16S ribosomal RNA
Rfam family: Bacterial small subunit ribosomal RNA
Source: RNAcentral
CUAAGUUUGAUGGCGACCGGCGCACGGGUGAGUAACACGUAUCCAACCUGCCGAUGACUCGGGGAUAGCCUUUCGAAAGAAAGAUUAAUACCCGAUGGCAUAGUUCUUCCGCAUGGUAGAACUAUUAAAGAAUUUCGGUCAUCGAUGGGGAUGCGUUCCAUUAGGUUGUUGGCGGGGUAACGGCCCACCAAGACUACGAUGGAUAGGGGUUCUGAGAGGAAGGUCCCCCACAUUGGAACUGAGACACGGUCCAAACUCCUACGGGAGGCAGCAUG